GGGUCAAUGAUGACAACAGAAAGUCAAGAACAGUAUGAUGACAUAAAAAUCAUGCUCAAUAGGAUUACACUGAGGCCC
This is a small nucleolar RNA of 78 nucleotides. Its record names the gene SNORD115. It matches the Rfam family "Small nucleolar RNA SNORD115". From Rfam's summary of the family: HBII-52 is a member of the C/D class of snoRNAs, which contain the C (UGAUGA) and D (CUGA) box motifs. The record is from Ensembl.